CCCUUAGAUGUCCGGGGCUGCACGCGCGCUACACUGAAGGAAUCAGCGUGCUAAAACCAUUGUCGAAAGGCAUUGGUAAACCCAUUAAAAUCCUACGUGAUUGGGAUCGGGAAUUGCAAUUAUUUCCCUUGAACGAGGAAUUCCCAGUAAGUGUGGGUCAUAAGCUCGCGUUGAUUACGUCCCUGCCCUUUGUGCACACCGCCCGUCGCUGCCCGGGACUGAGCCGUUUCGAGAAAAGCGGGGACUGCUGCUGUCGGGGCUUUCGGGCCUUGGCUUCGGUGGAAACCGCUUUAAUCGCANUNGCUUGANCCGGGCAAAANUCGUANCA
Molecule: ribosomal RNA, 328 nt
Filed under: uncultured eukaryote
Lineage: Eukaryota
Description: partial 18S ribosomal RNA
Rfam family: Eukaryotic small subunit ribosomal RNA
Source: RNAcentral